This 378-nucleotide ribosomal RNA is filed under the name Triticum aestivum (bread wheat). Its description in RNAcentral is "partial small subunit ribosomal RNA". The record is from RNAcentral. Lineage: Eukaryota; Viridiplantae; Streptophyta; Magnoliopsida; Poales; Poaceae.
AGGAAGAAUUUUUACAAAGAGACAAGUAAGUGUGAAUUAUGUGAUGAUGAACCUAAUGAACAUCUAAUGCACCUCUUUUUUAGUUGUGAUUUCAGCCAAAAUUUCUGGAUGAGCAUAGGCUACCAAUGGGACACUGAUUAUAACCUGAUGGAAAUUCUCUUGGAGGGUAAGAAACAAGAUAACUAUGGAUGUUUUAAAGAGUUCCUAAUAGCUGGUUGUUGGAGUCUAUGGAAGCACAGAAAUAGCAUUAUUUUUUAUCACAAGGUCAAAAAUAUGGCAUACUAUUUAACCAUGUUCAAGAAGCACUUCAGUAUGAUCAUAAAGAAGGAAAAACCUGGUUUGAAGGAGGGCAUGCAAAGCUGGCUAGACCACUUGUAG